UGGGGAAUAUUGGACAAUGGGCGCGAGCCUGAUCCAGCAAUGCCGCGUGAGUGAUGAAGGCCUUAGGGUUGUAAAGCUCUUUCGCACGCGACGAUGAUGACGGUAGCGUGAGAAGAAGCCCCGGCUAACUUCGUGCCAGCAGCCGCGGUAAUACGAAGGGGGCUAGCGUUGUUCGGAAUUACUGGGCGUAAAGGGCGCGUAGGCGGCCUGUUUAGUCAGAAGUGAAAGCCCCGGGCUCAACCUGGGAAUAGCUUUUGAUACUGGCAGGCUUGAGUUCCGGAGAGGAUGGUGGAAUUCCCAGUGUAGAGGUGAAAUUCGUAGAUAUUGGGAAGAACACCGGUGGCGAAGGCGGCCAUCUGGACGGACACUGACGCUGAGGCGCGAAAGCGUGGGGAGCAAACAGAUUAGAUACCCUGGUAGUCCACGCCGUAAACGAUGAAUGCUAGACGUCGGGGUGCAUGCACUUCGGUGUCGCCGCUAACGCAUUAAGCAUUCCGCCUGGGGAGUACGGCCGCAAGGUUAAAAC
This 526-nucleotide ribosomal RNA is filed under the name uncultured bacterium. RNAcentral describes it as "partial 16S ribosomal RNA". It matches the Rfam family "Bacterial small subunit ribosomal RNA", at positions 355 to 900 of the family's 1533-position model. The record is from RNAcentral.